UCUCCGUUAUCCGGAGCAGUCCUCUUAGAGUUCCCCCUUGCGGGUGGCAACUAAGAAUAAGGGUUGCGCUCGUUGCGGGACUUAACCCAACACCUCACGGCACGAGCUGAUGACAGCCAUGCAGCACCUGAACCGGCAGUCCCCGAAGGGAAGAUCCUAUUUCUAGGACUGUCCACCGUUGUCUAGCCCAGGUAAGGUUCUUCGCGUUGCCUCGAAUUAAACCACACGCUCCGCUGCUUGUGCGGGCCCCCGCCUAUUCCUUUGAGUUUUAACCUUGCGGCCGUAGUCCCCAGGCGGUGGACUUAAUGCGUUAGCUGCGGCACUGAUCGGGUCAAUCCGACCAACACCUAGUUCACAACGUUUAGGGCGUGGACUAC
This 377-nucleotide unclassified non-coding RNA is filed under the name uncultured Chloroflexota bacterium. RNAcentral describes it as "uncultured Chloroflexi bacterium contains 16S-23S intergenic spacer region". The record is from RNAcentral. Lineage: Bacteria; Bacillati; Chloroflexota.